RNAcentral lists this ribosomal RNA (229 nucleotides) under uncultured bacterium. RNAcentral describes it as "partial 16S ribosomal RNA". It matches the Rfam family "Bacterial small subunit ribosomal RNA", at positions 568 to 796 of the family's 1533-position model. The record is from RNAcentral.
AGUGUAGGCGGCUAUUUAAGUCGGAUGUGAAAGCCCCGGGCUCAACCUGGGAAUUGCAUUCGAAACUGAAUAGCUAGAAUUUGGUAGAGGUAAGUGGAAUUCCGGGUGUAGCGGUGAAAUGCGUAGAUAUCCGGAGGAACAUCAGUGGCGAAGGCGGCUUACUGGACCAAAAUUGACGCUGAUGCUCGAAAGCGUGGGGAGCAAACAGGAUUAGAUACCCUGGUAGUCC